GAUGAACGCUGGCGGCGUGCCUAAUACAUGCAAGUCGAGCGAACAGACGAGGAGCUUGCUCCUCUGACGUUAGCGGCGGACGGGUGAGUAACACGUGGAUAACCUACCUAUAAGACUGGGAUAACUUCGGGAAACCGGAGCUAAUACCGGAUAAUAUAUUGAACCGCAUGGUUCAAUAGUGAAAGACGGUUUUGCUGUCACUUAUAGAUGGAUCCGCGCCGCAUUAGCUAGUUGGUAAGGUAACGGCUUACCAAGGCAACGAUGCGUAGCCGACCUGAGAGGGUGAUCGGCCACACGGGAACUGAGACACGGUCCAGACUCCUACGGGAGGCAGCAGUAGGGAAUCUUCCGCAAUGGGCGAAAGCUUGACGGAGCAACGCCGCGUGAGUGAUGAAGGUCUUCGGAUCGUAAAACUCUGUUAUUAGGGAAGAACGAAUGUGUAAGUAACUAUGCACGUCUUGACGGUACCUAAUCAGAAAGCCACGGCUAACUACGUG
RNAcentral lists this ribosomal RNA (497 nucleotides) under uncultured bacterium. RNAcentral describes it as "partial 16S ribosomal RNA". It matches the Rfam family "Bacterial small subunit ribosomal RNA", at positions 28 to 507 of the family's 1533-position model. The record is from RNAcentral.